CAGAGGCCUCGAGCGUUAGGCGGAAUCACUGGGCUUAAAGCGUGUGUAGGCGGAUCGUUAAGUACCUUGUGAAAUCCCACGGCUCAACCGUGGAACGGCUGGGUAUACUGGCGGUCUUGGGCCAUUCAGGGGCGACUGGAACAAGCGGUGGAGCGGUGAAAUGCGUAGAUAUCGCUUGGAACGCCGAAGGUGAAAACAGGUCGCUGGGGAUGUGCCGACGCUGAGACACGAAAGCCAGGGGAGCAAACGGGAUUAGAUACCCCGGUAGUCCUGGCCCUAAACGAUGUCCACUAGAUUAUGGCGCCUUUGACGGCGUCAUGGUCGAAGCAAAAGUGUUAAGUGGACCGCCUGGGAAGUACGGUCGCAAGGCUA
RNAcentral lists this ribosomal RNA (372 nucleotides) under uncultured organism. Its description in RNAcentral is "bacterial SSU rRNA". It matches the Rfam family "Bacterial small subunit ribosomal RNA", at positions 526 to 896 of the family's 1533-position model. The record is from RNAcentral.